UCUCUCUCUCUCGAUCGAAAAAAUUCGAUCUUGAAUCUCGUUCCUCGCUCUUCUCCAAUCCCAGAUUCAGCGGGGCGCCGCAGAUUCUUGUUCCGGCCAGUCGCAGCAGAGGUCGCGCGCGUGCGUUUGUUUCCGUCGAUCAGAAGACGGGUGUGAUGCAGCAGAGUGAUCCGGCGGUCCUGAGCUUGAGACCUGGUGGCGGUCGAGGGGCAGCGGCAGAAUUCUCCCGCCUCGCUUCUUCGAUUCUUCAUCGACAGCUUCUCUCGCCCUCGGCUCGCUCUCCUCCAAUCUCCCCCUCUCGCGUCCUCAUGGCGGCGGCGCGGCGGCGAAGCCUGGAGACUCAUGGCUUGAGGGUCAAGAACGUGUUAGAUACACCCGAGACCAGCUGUUACAGCUAAGACAGGCUAUUGAGGUGUGUGAUGAUAUUCUGAAGAUACAAAGGGAAAUUGAAGCUGAGUUUCUUGGCGAAGAUCAAGACUGGGAAGUAGGGAGAACAAUGUGCCAAAUCAAUGC
Long non-coding RNA from Eucalyptus grandis, 513 nucleotides. RefSeq lists it as uncharacterized. Lineage: Eukaryota; Viridiplantae; Streptophyta; Magnoliopsida; Myrtales; Myrtaceae. The transcript has 4 exons. The record is from RefSeq and is a predicted model, not a curated record.